This 69-nucleotide small RNA is filed under the name Sinorhizobium meliloti 2011. RNAcentral's name for it is "putative ncRNA". Lineage: Bacteria; Pseudomonadati; Pseudomonadota; Alphaproteobacteria; Hyphomicrobiales; Rhizobiaceae. The record is from RNAcentral.
ACACAAGCUGCGUGACGCGGACGUAGCCUUCGGGAACCAGUCCGUCUGAAACGGCAGCCCGAAGGCGCA